This 432-nucleotide ribosomal RNA is filed under the name uncultured bacterium. RNAcentral's name for it is "partial 16S ribosomal RNA". It matches the Rfam family "Bacterial small subunit ribosomal RNA", at positions 338 to 795 of the family's 1533-position model. The record is from RNAcentral.
CCUACGGGGGGCAGCAGUAAGGAAUAUUGGUCAAUGGACGAAAGUCUGAACCAGCCAUGCCGCGUGAAGGAUGAAGGUCUCUGGAUUGUAAACUUCUUUUAUUUGGGACGCGGUACCAGAUGAAUAAGCACCGGCUAACUCCGUGCCAGCAGCCGCGGUAAUACGGAGGGUGCAAGCGUUAUCCGGAUUCACUGGGUUUAAAGGGUGCGUAGGCGGGUAGGUAAGUCAGCGGUGAAAUCCCCGAGCUUAACUUGGGAACUGCCGUUGAUACUAUUUAUCUUGAAUGUUGUGGAGGUUAGCGGAAUAUGUCAUGUAGCGGUGAAAUGCUUAGAUAUGACAUAGAACACCCAUUGCGAAGGCAGCUAACUACGCAAAAUUGACGCUGAUGCACGAAAGCGUGGGGAUCAAACAGGAUUAGAUACCCUUGUAGUC